This 384-nucleotide unclassified non-coding RNA is filed under the name uncultured bacterium. RNAcentral describes it as "contains 16S-23S intergenic spacer region". The record is from RNAcentral.
GCGCCUCCUCGAGUGCCGUGCCUGCGGGGGCGGUCCCGGAGAGCAUGAGGUAGCGCUGGCUGAAGUCCACGCCGCCGGUCAGGAGGCCAACCACCGGCAUGAUGAUGUCGUUGACGAGCGAAUCGACGAUCUUGCCGAACGCAGCGCCGAUGAUGACACCGACGGCCAAAUCAAGAGCAUUGCCCUUGUUUACGAAUUCCUUGAACUCGGAGAGCAUGUAAGCCUCCUGGGGAUGACGCCAUCCUACCGCCCUUUGUCACGGAAUUGUCGGGCCACGGGCGUCCGGGGAUGUCGCUUGGUAACGUCUCGGGAUCUAUGCGCUCAUUCGUCCUCGCCCUUGUCGCAAUUCUCGCGCUGGCCAGCCCCGCAGCUGCGGCCGGCAUU